GCUUACGGCCACACCUCCCUGAGCACGCCGAUCUCGUCUGAUCUCGGAAGCUAAGCAGGGUCGGCCCGGUUAGUACUUGGAGGGGAGACCGCCUGGGAAUACCAGGUGCUGUAAGCC
This 117-nucleotide ribosomal RNA is filed under the name Esox lucius (northern pike). The record is from RNAcentral. Lineage: Eukaryota; Metazoa; Chordata; Actinopteri; Esociformes; Esocidae.